UGCUUGAGAGAAUGACCCAAAAAAAAAAAAAUGUUGCAAUCUCUUCCUAUGUAUGAAUCAGAGAGGAAAUUUCUACCAUCUUCAAGUUCCACUGAGGAAGUCCAUACCCAAUGCUGGAAGCACCAGGGGAGAUCCCCAGCUCUCCUUGUCUGAGCAACACCAAAGCAAGAUCAGAAUGACUGCUCCAAGAGCUUGCACCAGGUCACAAAAGUAGAAUUACAGGUUGGAUAGAGCCAAAACUUAAGGAAGCUCAUUCUUAAUCUCUUUGGAAACACAGAUUUCCCACUGAGCAGAAUCCUAAUGAGUGUGCCCAACAGGAAUGACAUGCUCCCAUCAGAAAGUACUGUCCAGCCACUGUGAUCUUCAAAAUGCUCUUCGGCUCUUGAAAACACUUCUUCAGCGACUUUCAUAGUUCUUUAAGGAGGACUUCCCCACAUGUUGGAGAACCACUGCUCUAAAUCUAAAUGACCCAAUCAUUCUAGGGUCAUUUACACCACUCAGACUACUGGAAGACAGAAGUCAUUUGUACUAGGUCUUACAUACAUGAAACACGUGUAGAGUCAGAUUUAAAUUUACAAAUUUACAAAUGCCUAUCCUAUCUAAGGUUAUAAUUAUGACAACCCUAUCCCAGGGAAAAGUAUGGAGAAUGGUCAUAAAAAGAGUUCUCAGGUUUGUGUGGACUGAUGACAUCUACACAGGUACCAUGAGAUGGGAGUCUUUAAAUACAGGUAUGGUGGGUAAAAGCAGAAAAGAUCUGACAAAUAACCUUCUAUGAAAAUAACAACAAGAAAGUGUAGAUGCAAACAGAUAAGCUAAGAGUAACCAGACUGCCAAAAUGCCUGAAUUUUCAGAGUCACUUCUACUUUCUUAUUAAGAAAUGCUAUAGAGAGGUAGGAGGGGGGAGGGAAGUGCUGAGGAGCUAUAUCAGCUAAAUUUUGUUGUAUUUUGUGCACUAUGGAUAUGUAACAACAACCCCCCCCCAUUAUGUAUAUAAUGCACCAAUAACAAUGUGAGAAAAAAGAUAUACUAUAGCAAAGAAGAGACUGGGUGAUCUUAAUCUGGGGAAGGCAGAAGUUGAGGGA
Ictidomys tridecemlineatus (thirteen-lined ground squirrel) is the source of this 1082-nucleotide non-coding RNA. The record is from RefSeq and is a predicted model, not a curated record. Lineage: Eukaryota; Metazoa; Chordata; Mammalia; Rodentia; Sciuridae.